GAGCUGUGUGUGCUGCUGGAGGCUGAAUUUGGUGAGCUCUCUUUACCCACAAAGCUCAUGCUGUAGAAUCCUGGGGACAGGCCUGGAGGUUAUUAGUGUGAAGGCGUUUUUAUUGUACGUUCCACACCCCAAGUUGCCAGAGAGCAAAACAUAAUUCAACAAUCUGGCCAAAUGGUCAACAGUGAAGGUUAUACAUGUCAUUGAAGGGCAUGGAGAAAUUAAACAUUCUUCUCUCCCCAACCUCUCUCUCCAAAGACGACUUGUUUGCCUUAUGUUGUAAUCAAUAAGGAACGCCGGCCUAGGAAUCAGGCUGACCUGGGAUCCAGCUCCGCUCCUGUGAUGUCCUAUUUAAAUGUGUUUAAUCCUCCCUUACAAAAUAAAAAUAAUUGCGGCUACCACUUUUGACAUCUGCUGCAUUAAAGAUACUUCAGGUAUGGUAUUACCUCGUUUAAUUAUUACAAUAAUUCAUAAAAUAGGUAUUGGUGUUCGUUUUGCAUUAGAAUGCAGGCUUGGAGAGGUGAAGUUACUUGUCUAAGGCAAGCAAAUAAUAAGUAUAAGAAGAGCCGGGCACCGUGGCUCAUGCCUGUAAUCCCAGCACUUUGGGAGGCCGAGGCGGGCAGAUCACCUGAGGUCAGGAGUUCCAGACCAGCCUGACCAACAUGAAGAAACCCCGUCUCUACUAAAAAUACAAAAUUAGCCGGGCGUGGUGGUGCAUGCCUGUAAUCCUAGCUACUUCGGAGGCUGAGGAGAAUCGCUGGAACCCAGGAGGCAGAGAUUGCAGUGAGCCCAGAUCGCACCACUGCACUCCAGUCUGAGCGACAGAGGGAGACUCUGUUUCUAAAUAAAUAAAUAAAUAAAUAAAUGUAAAAACAGAGAAAAGUACAAUUUCCAUGGCUUUUGUCAUUCACACCCAUUUUUAAUAUUUUUGUCAUAUUUGAGUCAUCUUUUUGUAGUGAUAGAAAUAAAACAUUACAAAU
RNAcentral lists this long non-coding RNA (977 nucleotides) under Homo sapiens (human). RNAcentral's name for it is "HSALNT0349370". Lineage: Eukaryota; Metazoa; Chordata; Mammalia; Primates; Hominidae. The record is from RNAcentral.